RNAcentral lists this long non-coding RNA (1792 nucleotides) under Helianthus annuus (common sunflower). Its description in RNAcentral is "hypothetical non coding rna". The record is from RNAcentral. Lineage: Eukaryota; Viridiplantae; Streptophyta; Magnoliopsida; Asterales; Asteraceae.
UUCAUUCACAUCUAGGGUUUCUGUUUCUUCCAUCAUACACUCCUCCCCCUAUGGUUUCAUUCUUCCAGCAUACGUCUCUCUUCUCCAUAUCUAAUCUUCAUUCACAUCCUAGGGUUUCUGCAACCUCAUUCGCACCUCUCCUUCUCAUCCAAUCGCAUCCAUGAAGAUCAUGUUCAUCCCCAAGGUCAACCCAAAUCUAUAUUACCAAUCUUCUGCUCUAAUUCUCUCUGCCGUCCUUCAGCCUUACGAAAUCUUCAUCACAAAUGUAUGAUUCCAUCUCUUUGGUAACAAUCAAUCUUGGUUUUCUUGCCUUUUCUUUCGAUUUCUUACUUUUUAUUUACUGGAACCAAAUUAGGGUUUUUAUAGCCUUCAUCUACCUUACUUCACUAAGUUAUAGAUUGAUAACUUAGAUUGAUAACAAAUUGCAACCGAUCAAAGUACAUCACUUCACUAAAAUAUCCCCAUUGUUUUUUUAUAACCUUCAUCUACCUUACUUCACUUUAGCGCCUUCGUCUUCCUCCUCUGCUGCAGAUUCCAAACCCUAGGUAAGGUGUAGUUUUUAGAGGUGAAAUAAUGGUGGAGAAGACGAAAGGAAUGAAGGAAGAGGUGGUGACGAAAGAGUACACCAUUAAUCUUCACAAGCGGCUUCAUGGAUGGGUGGUGCCAAGAAGUUGGUGAUCUCAGCUCCAUAAGCCGAUUCACCCAUGUUUGUCGUAGCAGUAAAGUAAAGAUGAGUCUUGAUCUCCUAAACUGGAGAUUGCAAAAACGAUGAGUCAGAUGCCCCUCUGACCAUAGUCACCUAAUUCGCUAGAAAAGUGGCGAAUUUCGUAUUGGUACGUUUCGUACCGUACGGAAUUCGUUUUCGUAAAAUACGGUUCGAAUUCGCGAAUUCACUCCAUGAAUUCAGCGUUUCAUUCCAUUCAAUUCUGCGAAUUUCCUGCACCAAUUCACUGAAUUCCGUUUGCAAUAAUAGCGAAUUUUAUGGGUCAAUACGUAUUAGGGUUGGAUACGGCGCCAGUACCAUAGUCACCUAAUUCGCUCAAUUCAGUGCAUCAUGUUCAUCAAUUCAACGAAUGGUGAUGAAGAUGAAAAAAUUAAACCUUACCUGUGAUAAUGAUGAACCCUAGUGAAAAUGGAGAAGAAGAUGGAGUUGGAGGCUGUACGCUGCGUUUCUUUCAUCUCUUUUAACCUAAAACCUCUUUUAUUUACAUAUUUCAUCCUUUAUGUUUAUGUUAUUAUAAAUAUUAACCUAAAGCUUUUUUUAUUAAGUUACAUAUUUCAUCCUCAAAUCUCUAUAUUUUUACCUUUUCGACUUUAACCUAAAACUUUUUAAGUUGUUUACUUAUUUGGAUUUAUAAAAUUAGUAAUUUUUGUUUUAAUUUGUGUAUACCGAACGGAACGGAAUGGUACACCGAACCGAAUCAUACCGGACCGUAGCGAAAUGAACCUACCCCCUUCCGAACCGAAUUCGUCCCAACUAGCGAAUUGCGAACCCGAACCGCGUACCCGAACCGGAGCGAACCGCGAAUUAGGUGACUAUGCCUCUGACAAGUAUCUUAUCUUAAGCCAUUUAGCAAGGGCACCAAGUGUAAGAAAUAAGUUAAAUGGAAGGGAUUUAGCACUGCUAUAACUAGAUAGGCACCAAGGAAUGUAUUUGGAAGCUACACUUUUGUUCUUUCAAUAUAUGGAAUAAAGUAUUUUUGUAACGUUUUUGUUUACAUGAUUACAUUUAAUAAUAAUAUUUUAUUUUAGUAUUUACAUGUUACACGUAUUAAUUUAUUGUUUUAUCUUU